RNAcentral lists this ribosomal RNA (208 nucleotides) under uncultured bacterium. RNAcentral's name for it is "partial 16S ribosomal RNA". It matches the Rfam family "Bacterial small subunit ribosomal RNA", at positions 568 to 774 of the family's 1533-position model. The record is from RNAcentral.
UGCGUAGGUGGUCGGGUAAGUCUGAGGUGAAAUCUCCGAGCUCAACUCGGAAACUGCCUUGGAUACUAUUCGGCUAGAGGGUUGGAGGGGGGACGUGGAAUUCUCGGUGUAGCAGUGAAAUGCGUAGAUAUCGAGAGGAACACCAGUGGCGAAGGCGAGUCCCUGGACAACUCCUGACGCUGAGGCACGAAAGCUAGGGGAGCAAACA